CAGAGGGGGCGAGCGUUGUUCGGAAUUACUGGGCGUAAAGGGCGCGUAGGCGGCCUUCUAAGUCGAACGUGAAAUCCCCGGGCUCAACCCGGGAACUGCGUCCGAUACUGGAAGGCUUGAAUCCGGGAGAGGGAUGCGGAAUUCCAGGUGUAGCGGUGAAAUGCGUAGAUAUCUGGAGGAACACCGGUGGCGAAGGCGGCAUCCUGGACCGGCAUUGACGCUGAGGCGCGAAAGCCAGGGGAGCAAAACGGGAUUAGAUACCCCGGUAGCCCUGGCCCUAAACGAUGAAUGCUUGGUGUGGCGGGUAUCGAUCCCUGCCGUGCCGAAGCUAACGCAUUAAGCAUUCCGCCUGGGGAUACGGUCGCGAGGCUG
Molecule: ribosomal RNA, 372 nt
Filed under: uncultured organism
Description: bacterial SSU rRNA
Rfam family: Bacterial small subunit ribosomal RNA
Source: RNAcentral